Molecule: non-coding RNA, 291 nt
Organism: Cinara cedri
Lineage: Eukaryota; Metazoa; Arthropoda; Insecta; Hemiptera; Aphididae
Source: the annotation of a GenBank genome assembly
CAAUAGUAAUACUAUAUAAAAAUACUUUUUCUCGGUCGUAUGGGGUAGUUAAUGCUUUUCUUUAAGGUUUUUUGUGUAUUUCUUUUCUGCGGGGGGAAUCGUUUUUUAGUUAGUAAUAAUCAUCAGCAUUUUCCCCUAUGAAUUAAAAUGCGCAAAUUUUAUUCAGUAAAAGGUAUUUAAAUAAUUUUUGAAACACAAAAAAAUCAAAAAAUAAUGUGUCUAUCCUGGAUAGGGAGUAGGAAUAAACACUACUUUAAAAUACUUUAGUUUUAAAAUAAAGCAUAAACGUCU